This 253-nucleotide ribosomal RNA is filed under the name uncultured bacterium. RNAcentral's name for it is "partial 16S ribosomal RNA". It matches the Rfam family "Bacterial small subunit ribosomal RNA", at positions 524 to 776 of the family's 1533-position model. The record is from RNAcentral.
UACGUAGGGUGCAAGCGUUAAUCGGAAUUACUGGUCGUAAAGCGUGCGCAGGCGGUUUUGUAAGUCUGACGUGAAAUCCCCGGGCUUAACCUGGGAAUUGCGUUGGAGACUGCAAGGCUAGAAUCUGGCAGAGGGGGGUAGAAUUCCACGUGUAGCAGUGAAAUGCGUAGAGAUGUGGAGGAACACCGAUGGCGAAGGCAGCCCCCUGGGUCAAGAUUGACGCUCAUGCACGAAAGCGUGGGGAGCAAACAGG